This is a long non-coding RNA of Triticum dicoccoides, 1108 nucleotides long. RefSeq lists it as uncharacterized. The record is from RefSeq and is a predicted model, not a curated record. NCBI's taxonomy places the organism in Eukaryota, Viridiplantae, Streptophyta, Magnoliopsida, Poales, Poaceae. The transcript has 3 exons.
CCUGUACAACAGAGAUGGCAAGGUGGAGUACUUGCUUGAGGUCCAGGUUCAUCCUCUUCUGGUGGAGAACAAUUCAGGGGCGAGGCGAGGAGAACCUGCCUGGAGACAACGUGCUGCGUGCGGCAGCGACGAGCCAGGUGGGCUGGGCAUGGCCAGGACCAAGCUGAGGGGGUGGCGACCAAUCUCGCGCGGCGGUGACGAGGCAGUGCUGGCUGCGACCAAACUUGUCCUCUUGUUCUGCCUCAAUAAGUGUUGCUGCUUGUCCUAUUGCACCAUAAUUACUCUGAAAUUUUUGAAAAAAGCAAGUUUAAUACUCCAAAAAGGGAAAAACAAACAAACCAUAGAUCUUAUCUCUAGGUUGCUUAACCCUGAAACAACGUAUCUUCUGCAAUGUACACCUGCAUUUAGUAGUAGUAAUGCCAUCUAGAUAAUGCAAGAGUAGUAGUAACUGAAACUUCCAUGUAAAUUUAACUGAAACUUCUGCAUUUGUACUCUGUAAGAUUCUAGCUGUAGAGACAAAAUGCUCCUUCAUUUGAUUAGCAUUUAACUACAAUAAUGUUUAGAUUGGUUGCAACAAACAAAAUACAGAUAUGUCAAUGAGUAAAUUUCUUAUUAAUAUGGUCCGGUUGCAGAAAUACAGAUCAUUCAACUCUAGGAUCCAGAAUGCAUUAAACAAAAUUAAAACAAUGUACUGGUACUCAUUUGGUCAAUCUGCUACUGUACUCAUUUGACAGAUUUGUAUUUUGAUAUAAUCCAUUUCAUAGUGAUGUUUCUUGACACACAAGUGAUACUGUGCAGACAAGUGACAAUUCUUCUUUAAAUUACAAAUGUUGUAUUUACAAGUAACUACUCCAUGUUUACUUGUCACUGUUUGCAAAUGAGAAAUUGUAAAUGUUUACUCCAUGUUUACUUCUCACUGUUUGCAAAUGAGUAAUGUUUCGACAAGGAGUACUGUGCAGUAGGAGUACAAUACUCUGUAUUUUGACAAACAAGUGCAGCAUCUCAUGUGUGAUUAUGCAUUUAUCUGAACCAAUGCAUUUAACUGAAUCUAUGCCGAAUCUAACUGAUCCUUGUACUGAUACUCCAGUCUGUUUGCAGAAUUUACAGU